GGUGGCUGUGCUUGAAAAACGUGGGGAGAAGAAGGCGGGCGAAUUCAGGGGGAUUCCAGACCACAAAACUCUUCUUCGAAGAGGUCCAGGAGACGAUCUCAUCGGUGGCUGAGUCGUCAACCAUAUCGUAGGUCUUGAUGAGAAACGGCGCCGGACCGGCGCCGCCAGCAGCUGCUUCCAUUAGGUGAGAAGAACGGUGGAUCAGGAUCUGAAUCGAC
This 218-nucleotide unclassified non-coding RNA is filed under the name Hevea brasiliensis (rubber tree). Lineage: Eukaryota; Viridiplantae; Streptophyta; Magnoliopsida; Malpighiales; Euphorbiaceae. The record is from RNAcentral.